Molecule: ribosomal RNA, 467 nt
Filed under: uncultured bacterium
Lineage: Bacteria
Description: partial 16S ribosomal RNA
Rfam family: Bacterial small subunit ribosomal RNA
Source: RNAcentral
GACGAACGCUGGCGGCGUGCUUAACACAUGCAAGUCGAACGGAAAGGCCCUGCUUUUGUGGGGUGCUCGAGUGGCGAACGGGUGAGUAACACGUGAGUAACCUGCCCUUGACUUUGGGAUAACUUCAGGAAACUGGGGCUAAUACCGGAUAGGAGCUCCUGCUGCAUGGUGGGGGUUGGAAAGUUUCGGCGGUUGGGGAUGGACUCGCGGCUUAUCAGCUUGUUGGUGGGGUAGUGGCUUACCAAGGCUUUGACGGGUAGCCGGCCUGGGAGGGUGACCGGGCCCAGUGGCACAGGGAAGGGGCCAGGGCGCAAUCGGGGGGAAGGGGGGGGAAAUUGAGCAAGCCGGGCCGAGGGUUGGAAGAAGAACUCCGGGUGGGGGAGGACGGCCUUGGGGGUGGAACCGCAUUUAGUUUGUAACGAGCGGUGGUGGCGGUAAAAGGGGAAAAAGCCCCGGCUAAAUUCGUG